AUACGUAGGGGGCGAGCGUUGUCCGGAAUGAUUGGGCGUAAAGGGCGCGUAGGCGGCGCGGUAAGUCUGGAGUGAGAGUCCUGCUUUCAAGGUGGGAAUUGCUUUGGAUACUGCCGCGCUUGAGUGCAGGAGAGGUUAUCGGAAUUCCCGGUGUAGCGGUGAAAUGCGUAGAGAUCGGGAGGAACACCAGUGGCGAAGGCGGGUAACUGGACUGCAACUGACGCUGAGGCGCGAAAGUGUGGGGAGCAAACAGGAUUAGAUACCCUGGUAGUCCACACUGUAAACGAUGAAUGCUAGGUGUAAGAGGUAUCGACCCCUUUUGUGCCGGAGUCAACACAAUAAGCAUUCCGCCUGGGGAGUACGGCCGCAAGGUUGAAACUCAAAGGAAUUGACGGGG
This 397-nucleotide ribosomal RNA is filed under the name uncultured bacterium. Its description in RNAcentral is "partial 16S ribosomal RNA". It matches the Rfam family "Bacterial small subunit ribosomal RNA", at positions 523 to 918 of the family's 1533-position model. The record is from RNAcentral.